CGCUAAUGCGGCCACGCCCACGGAGCCAGCGCUAUUCAGACGCAAAUUCAGUCAAUACAUGCAUACAUCGUCUCAAUCGUGUAUUUAUUGUCUUGAAAAGUGUUUAUCUGGAUGUUAAAGCGUUGUUGUAAAGCAUGGUUAGCGAACUCUAGAAGACAUGGGCUGCAUCCGAAACCGCAUACUUCUCUACUAUAUAGUAGGGGAAAAGCAGUAGGCGAGCGAAAAAGUAUGUCCGAAUCCUUAGUAUUCAUAAAAGAGUAGGCGAGAAGUACCUGGGUGAUGUCUAAUUCUCGCGAGAUUCGGACGUGCGUCUACGUAAAGUGCGUCCGAAUAUGCCUACUUACCUACUAUACAGUAGGGGGAAAACAGUACGUGAAAGGAGCAGUAUGUCCGAAAUCCUCAGUAAUCAUAAAUGAGUAGUCGAGAAGUUCCCGGAUGGCCUACUGCUCCCGCCCAGAUUCUGAAGUGUGCAUCCGAUGGACACUCUUCUAUCCCAGGAGGCCACGGGAGAGGUACGUCACACUCGAACACGGAGGAUAAAAGUGGCGCGGAUGUUUUCAAAUGGACAGAUGAGCACACGUGUGUUUAUCCGGUGGAGAGAGGCUGAUGAAGGAAUGAUGGCGUCAAUGGCUUUGAAGUUAUUACAGCACUUCUGAUUCUUGAUGUCGGUAUGUUU
Molecule: long non-coding RNA, 676 nt
Organism: Megalobrama amblycephala (Wuchang bream)
Lineage: Eukaryota; Metazoa; Chordata; Actinopteri; Cypriniformes; Xenocyprididae
Exons: 3
Source: RefSeq, a predicted model, not a curated record